This 468-nucleotide ribosomal RNA is filed under the name uncultured bacterium. RNAcentral's name for it is "partial 16S ribosomal RNA". It matches the Rfam family "Bacterial small subunit ribosomal RNA", at positions 28 to 507 of the family's 1533-position model. The record is from RNAcentral.
GACGAACGCUGGCGGCGUGCUUAACACAUGCAAGUCGAACGGAAAGGCCCUGCUUUUGUAGGGUGCUCGAGUGGCGAACGGGUGAGUAACACGUGAGUAACCUGCCCUUGACUUUGGGAUAACUUCAGGAAACUGGGGCUAAUCCCGGAUAGGAGCUCCUGCUGCAUGGUGGGGGUUGGAAAGUUUCGGCGGUAGGGGAUGGACUCGCGGCUUAUCAGCUUGUUGGUGGGGUAGUGGCUUACCAAGGCAUUGACGGGUAGCCGGCCUGAGAGGGUGACCGGCCACAUUGGGACUGAGAUACGGCCCAGACGCCUACGGGAGGCAGCAGUGGGGAAUAUUGCACAAUGGGCGGAAGCCUGAGGCAGCAACGCCGCGUGCGGGAUGACGGCCUUCGGGUUGUAAACCGCUUUCGCCUGUGACGAAGCGUGAGUGACGGUAAUGGGUAAAGAAGCACCGGCUAACUACGUG